AGCUCCAAUAGCGUAUAUUAAAGUUGCUGCAGUUAAAAAGCUCGUAGUUGCAUUUCCGAGGCAAGGGAUUAGUCCGACCUUUGGUGAGUAUUUAAUCCUCUUGCCUCGUCCUUGAGUGGUGCUUCUUGGUAUUAAGUUAUCGAGGAGAUAGCCGUUCAUCGUUUACUGUGAGAAAAUUAGAGUGUUCAAAGCAGGCUUAUGCCGUUGAAUAUAUUAGCAUGGAAUAAUAAGAUAGGACCUCGGUACUAUUUUGUUGGUUUGAGAACCAAGGUAAUGAUGAAUAGGGACAGUUGGGGGUAUUCGUAUUCAGUUGUCAGAGGUGAAAUUCUUAGAUUUACGGAAGACGAACUACUGCGAAAGCAUUUACCAAGGAUGUUUUCA
RNAcentral lists this ribosomal RNA (381 nucleotides) under uncultured marine Chaetocerotaceae. RNAcentral describes it as "SSU rRNA". It matches the Rfam family "Eukaryotic small subunit ribosomal RNA", at positions 587 to 972 of the family's 1831-position model. Lineage: Eukaryota; Bacillariophyta; Thalassiosirophyceae; Chaetocerotales; Chaetocerotaceae. The record is from RNAcentral.